GGGUUGUGAGGUUAAGCGACUAAGCGUACACGGUGGAUGCCCUGGCAGUCAGAGGCGAUGAAGGACGUGCUAAUCUGCGAUAAGCGUCGGUAAGGUGAUAUGAACCGUUAUAACCGGCGAUUUCCGAAUGGGGAAACCCAGUGUGUUUCGACACACUAUCAUUAACUGAAUCCAUAGGUUAAUGAGGCGAACCGGGGGAACUGAAACAUCUAAGUACCCCGAGGAAAAGAAAUCAACCGAGAUUCCCCCAGUAGCGGCGAGCGAACGGGGAGCAGCCCAGAGCCUGAAUCAGUGUGUGUGUUAGUGGAAGCGUCUGGAAAGGCGCGCGAUACAGGGUGACAGCCCCGUACACAAAAAUGCACAUACUGUGAGCUCGAUGAGUAGGGCGGGACACGUGGUAUCCUGUCUGAAUAUGGGGGGACCAUCCUCCAAGGCUAAAUACUCCUGACUGACCGAUAGUGAACCAGUACCGUGAGGGAAAGGCGAAAAGAACCCCGGCGAGGGGAGUGAAAAAGAACCUGAAACCGUGUACGUACAAGCAGUGGGAGCCUCUUUUAUGGGGUGACUGCGUACCUUUUGUAUAAUGGGUCAGCGACUUAUAUUCUGUAGCAAGGUUAACCGAAUAGGGGAGCCGAAGGGAAACCGAGUCUUAACCGGGCGUUAAGUUGCAGGGUAUAGACCCGAAACCCGGUGAUCUAGCCAUGGGCAGGUUGAAGGUUGGGUAACACUAACUGGAGGACCGAACCGACUAAUGUUGAAAAUUAGCGGAUGACUUGUGGCUGGGGGUGAAAGGCCAAUCAAACCGGGAGAUAGCUGGUUCUCCCCGAAAGCUAUUUAGGUAGCGCCUCGUGAAUUCAUCUCCGGGGGUAGAGCACUGUUUCGGCAAGGGGGUCAUCCCGACUUACCAACCCGAUGCAAACUGCGAAUACCGGAGAAUGUUAUCACGGGAGACACACGGCGGGUGCUAACGUCCGUCGUGAAGAGGGAAACAACCCAGACCGCCAGCUAAGGUCCCAAAGUCAUGGUUAAGUGGGAAACGAUGUGGGAAGGCCCAGACAGCCAGGAUGUUGGCUUAGAAGCAGCCAUCAUUUAAAGAAAGCGUAAUAGCUCACUGGUCGAGUCGGCCUGCGCGGAAGAUGUAACGGGGCUAAACCAUGCACCGAAGCUGCGGCAGCGACACUGUGUGUUGUUGGGUAGGGGAGCGUUCUGUAAGCCUGUGAAGGUGUACUGUAAGGUAUGCUGGAGGUAUCAGAAGUGCGAAUGCUGACAUAAGUAACGAUAAAGCGGGUGAAAAGCCCGCUCGCCGGAAGACCAAGGGUUCCUGUCCAACGUUAAUCGGGGCAGGGUGAGUCGACCCCUAAGGCGAGGCCGAAAGGCGUAGUCGAUGGGAAACAGGUUAAUAUUCCUGUACUUGGUGUUACUGCGAAGGGGGGACGGAGAAGGCUAUGUUGGCCGGGCGACGGUUGUCCCGGUUUAAGCGUGUAGGCUGGUUUUCCAGGCAAAUCCGGAAAAUCAAGGCUGAGGCGUGAUGACGAGGCACUACGGUGCUGAAGCAACAAAUGCCCUGCUUCCAGGAAAAGCCUCUAAGCAUCAGGUAACAUCAAAUCGUACCCCAAACCGACACAGGUGGUCAGGUAGAGAAUACCAAGGCGCUUGAGAGAACUCGGGUGAAGGAACUAGGCAAAAUGGUGCCGUAACUUCGGGAGAAGGCACGCUGAUAUGUAGGUGAAGUCCCUCGCGGAUGGAGCUGAAAUCAGUCGAAGAUACCAGCUGGCUGCAACUGUUUAUUAAAAACACAGCACUGUGCAAACACGAAAGUGGACGUAUACGGUGUGACGCCUGCCCGGUGCCGGAAGGUUAAUUGAUGGGGUCAGCGCAAGCGAAGCUCUUGAUCGAAGCCCCGGUAAACGGCGGCCGUAACUAUAACGGUCCUAAGGUAGCGAAAUUCCUUGUCGGGUAAGUUCCGACCUGCACGAAUGGCGUAAUGAUGGCCAGGCUGUCUCCACCCGAGACUCAGUGAAAUUGAACUCGCUGUGAAGAUGCAGUGUACCCGCGGCAAGACGGAAAGACCCCGUGAACCUUUACUAUAGCUUGACACUGAACAUUGAGCCUUGAUGUGUAGGAUAGGUGGGAGGCUUUGAAGUGUGGACGCCAGUCUGCAUGGAGCCGACCUUGAAAUACCACCCUUUAAUGUUUGAUGUUCUAACGUGGACCCGUGAUCCGGGUUGCGGACAGUGUCUGGUGGGUAGUUUGACUGGGGCGGUCUCCUCCUAAAGAGUAACGGAGGAGCACGAAGGUUGGCUAAUCCUGGUCGGACAUCAGGAGGUUAGUGCAAUGGCAUAAGCCAGCUUGACUGCGAGCGUGACGGCGCGAGCAGGUGCGAAAGCAGGUCAUAGUGAUCCGGUGGUUCUGAAUGGAAGGGCCAUCGCUCAACGGAUAAAAGGUACUCCGGGGAUAACAGGCUGAUACCGCCCAAGAGUUCAUAUCGACGGCGGUGUUUGGCACCUCGAUGUCGGCUCAUCACAUCCUGGGGCUGAAGUAGGUCCCAAGGGUAUGGCUGUUCGCCAUUUAAAGUGGUACGCGAGCUGGGUUUAGAACGUCGUGAGACAGUUCGGUCCCUAUCUGCCGUGGGCGCUGGAGAACUGAGGGGGGCUGCUCCUAGUACGAGAGGACCGGAGUGGACGCAUCACUGGUGUUCGGGUUGUCAUGCCAAUGGCACUGCCCGGUAGCUAAAUGCGGAAGAGAUAAGUGCUGAAAGCAUCUAAGCACGAAACUUGCCCCGAGAUGAGUUCUCCCUGACCCUUUAAGGGUCCUGAAGGAACGUUGAAGACGACGACGUUGAUAGGCCGGGUGUGUAAGCGCAGCGAUGCGUUGAGCUAACCGGUACUAAUGAACCGUGAGGCUUAACCUUACAACGCCGAAGGUGUUU
RNAcentral lists this ribosomal RNA (2929 nucleotides) under Escherichia coli. RNAcentral's name for it is "bacterial LSU rRNA". It matches the Rfam family "Bacterial large subunit ribosomal RNA". Lineage: Bacteria; Pseudomonadati; Pseudomonadota; Gammaproteobacteria; Enterobacterales; Enterobacteriaceae. The record is from RNAcentral.